GAGCGAUCAUAAGGGAGCUGACUGCAAAUCUGCCGUCAUCGACUUCAAGGUUUGACUCGAGCAAUAGUGAGAGAACGUUGCCGCAGCCAACGGCCUGAAGGGUGAGGAGCUUUAGCUCCGAAUAAUCCUUCCCGCUAUAGAA
This 142-nucleotide small RNA is filed under the name Salmonella enterica. Its description in RNAcentral is "RtT sRNA". It matches the Rfam family "RtT RNA". From Rfam's summary of the family: This family represents a bacterial cis-regulatory element known as RtT RNA. The exact function of RtT is unknown although it is thought that it may be involved in changing the cellular response in relation to amino acid starvation. Lineage: Bacteria; Pseudomonadati; Pseudomonadota; Gammaproteobacteria; Enterobacterales; Enterobacteriaceae. The record is from RNAcentral.